AAGUCGUAACAAGGUUUCCGUAGGUGAACCUGCGGAAGGAUCAUUAACACGUAUCCAACGUUAAACCCCCCCGUGAACCUUUAUUGUGGCACGCCUAUCCGUUAGAAAGUGGCAAUCCCUGGUAAAUCAUCACUUCUGCGUGGGUAGGACAACUGCGCGAGCAAGUGACCUGGCAUCCCUCUGCUUGUUAGUGUCUGAAAGUGUCACUAGCUCUGUAGCCAACACGGCCGGCGACCGGGUCAAUGGGCCCUCGGCCCCCUAGAUCACCCCUUUGCAUGAAAACGGGCCUGCGCUUAAUUGUGCGGCCACCAAACUCGAACAACUGUUAACAAUGGAUAUCUUGGUUCUC
RNAcentral lists this unclassified non-coding RNA (349 nucleotides) under fungal sp. Its description in RNAcentral is "partial internal transcribed spacer region". The stretch from base 1 to 46 matches the Rfam family "Eukaryotic small subunit ribosomal RNA", at positions 1786 to 1831 of the family's 1831-position model. The record is from RNAcentral. Lineage: Eukaryota; Fungi.